RNAcentral lists this ribosomal RNA (475 nucleotides) under uncultured bacterium. Its description in RNAcentral is "bacterial SSU rRNA". It matches the Rfam family "Bacterial small subunit ribosomal RNA", at positions 28 to 526 of the family's 1533-position model. The record is from RNAcentral.
GACGAACGCUGGCGGUGUGCUUAAUACAUGCAAGUCGAACGAUAAGGCCCUUCGGGGUACAUAAGUGGCGGACGGGUGAGUAACACGUAGGUAAUCUGCCUCUAGGAGGGGGAUAACAUUAGGAAACUGGUGCUAAUACCCCAUAUGUCAUAUUUUGGAAUAGAUAUGAUGAAAGUUCCGGCGCCUAGAGAUGAGCCUGCGGCUGAUUAGCUUGUUGGUGGGGUAAAGGCCUACCAAGGCGAUGAUCAGUAGCUGGUCUGAGAGGAUGAUCAGCCACAAUGGGACUGAGACACGGCCCAUACUCCUACGGGAGGCAGCAGUAGGGAAUUUUGCGCAAUGGGCGAAAGCCUGACGCAGCAACACCGCGUGAGGGAUGACGCUUCUUGGAGUGUAAACCUCUGUCAGUGGGGACGAAACCUGACGGUACCCACAAAGGAAGCAUCGGCUAACUACGUGCCAGCAGCCGCCGUAACAC